RNAcentral lists this ribosomal RNA (468 nucleotides) under uncultured bacterium. RNAcentral describes it as "partial 16S ribosomal RNA". It matches the Rfam family "Bacterial small subunit ribosomal RNA", at positions 28 to 507 of the family's 1533-position model. The record is from RNAcentral.
GACGAACGCUGGCGGCGUGCUUAACACAUGCAAGUCGAGCGGAAAGGCCCUGCUUUUGUGGGGUGCUCGAGUGGCGAACGGGUGAGUAACACGUGUGUAACCUGCCCUUGACUUUGGGAUAACUUCAGGAAACUGGGGCUAAUACCGGAUAGGAGCUCCUGCUGCAUGGUGGGGGUUGGAAAGUUUCGGCGGUUGGGGAUGGACUCGCGGCUUAUCAGCUUGUUGGUGGGGUAGUGGCUUACCAAGGCUUUGACGGGUAGCCGGCCUGAGAGGGUGACCGGCCACCUUAGGACUGAGAUACGGCCCAGAAUCGUACGGGCGGCAGCAGUGGAGAAUAUUACACAAUGGGCGGAAGCCUGAUGCAGCAACGCCGCGUGCGGGAUGACGGGCUUCGGGUUGUAAACCGCUUUCGCCUGUGACGAAGCGGGAGUGACGGUAAUGGGUAAAGAAGCACCGGCUAACUACGUG